This 34-nucleotide small RNA is filed under the name Bombyx mori (domestic silkworm). Its description in RNAcentral is "ovarian small RNA-14735". The record is from RNAcentral. Lineage: Eukaryota; Metazoa; Arthropoda; Insecta; Lepidoptera; Bombycidae.
CUGAAAGCGAAAUCGUAGGCAGUCCGACCCGGGA